AGGUCUGGAUGGACUCUUACACCCAUCAAGGGCAAAUUUAAGGGUUAGUAACAGUUAGGUUAGCUGGCCUGUGACCCUUGGUUACCAGAAUGCUGUUGCCUAAACCGGUGGCAAAUUACAGCAAAGUGACACACUAAGCGCUGCUCCGUAAUGGUUAGAUCAAACUUUCACACAGCCCCCCCCCACUUCCUCCUCAUCCCUCAAGUUUGUUUGUUGCCUGGAUGGGCAGCUACUCAAGCAGAAAAAACAGGAAGUAGGUGGACGGGGUAGGGAAGCCGCUCCGAGUAGGUGGACGGGUUAAGGGAAGCCGCUCCGAGUAGGUGGACGGGGUAGGGAAGCCACUCCGAGUAGGUGGACGGGUUAAGGGAAGCCGCUCCGAGUAGGUGGACGGGGUAGGGAAGCAGCUCCGAGUAGGUGGACGGGGUAGGGAAGCCGCUCCGAGUAGGUGGACGGGGUAGGGAAGCCGCUCCGAGUAGGUGGACGGGGUAGGAAAGCCGCUCCGAGUAGGUGGACGGGGUAUGGAAGCAGCUCCGAGUAGGUGGACGGGUUAGGGAAGCCGCUCCGAGUAGGUGGACGGGGUAGCGAAGCCGCUCCGAGUAGGUGGACGGGGUAGGGAAGCCGCUCCGAGUAGGUGGACGGGGUAGGGAAGCCGCUCCGAGUAGGUGGACGGGGUAGCGAAGCCGCUCCGAGUAGGUGGACGGGGUAGGGAAGCCGCUCCGAGUAGGUGGAAGGGGUAGCGAAGCCGCUCCGAGUAGGUGGACGGGGUAGGGAAGCCGCUCCGAGUAGGUGGACGGGAUAGGGAAGCAGCUCCGAGUAGGUGGACGGGGUAUGGAAGCCGUUCCGAGUAGGUGGACGGGGUAGGGAAGCCGCUCCGAGUAGGUGGACGGGGUAGGAAAGCCGCUCCGAGUAGGUGGAAGGGGUAGGGAAGCCGCUCCGAGUAGGUGGACGGGGUAUGGAAGCAGCUCCGAGUAGGUGGACGGGUUAGGGAAGCCGCUCCGAGUAGGUGGACGGGGUAUGGAAACCGCUCCGAGUAGGUGGACGGGGUAGGGAAGCCGCCCCGAGUAGGUGGACGGGGUAGGAAAGCCGCCCCGAGUAGGUGGACAGGGUAGCGAAGCCGCUCCGCACCGCUGCCGUUACUACUCAGAGAGCCAGACGUCUAUAUUAAGAGAUUAAACAUACUGCUCAGGACUUUGGGCUCCUUUUCAAGCCCACAUAAUAAACCGCUAAAUUAAAUUAUGAUACUUU
This is a long non-coding RNA of Brienomyrus brachyistius, 1245 nucleotides long. RefSeq lists it as uncharacterized. Lineage: Eukaryota; Metazoa; Chordata; Actinopteri; Osteoglossiformes; Mormyridae. The transcript has 3 exons. The record is from RefSeq and is a predicted model, not a curated record.